RNAcentral lists this ribosomal RNA (1063 nucleotides) under Burkholderia cenocepacia. RNAcentral's name for it is "bacterial LSU rRNA". It matches the Rfam family "Bacterial large subunit ribosomal RNA", at positions 1865 to 2925 of the family's 2925-position model. The record is from RNAcentral. Lineage: Bacteria; Pseudomonadati; Pseudomonadota; Betaproteobacteria; Burkholderiales; Burkholderiaceae.
GGUGCCGGAAGAUUAAAUGAUGGGGUGCAAGCUCUUGAUUGAAGUCCCGGUAAACGGCGGCCGUAACUAUAACGGUCCUAAGGUAGCGAAAUUCCUUGUCGGGUAAGUUCCGACCUGCACGAAUGGCGUAACGAUGGCCACACUGUCUCCUCCCGAGACUCAGCGAAGUUGAAGUGUUUGUGAUGAUGCAAUCUACCCGCGGCUAGACGGAAAGACCCCAUGAACCUUUACUGUAGCUUUGCAUUGGACUUUGAACCGAUCUGUGUAGGAUAGGUGGGAGGCUAUGAAACCGGAACGCUAGUUUCGGUGGAGCCGUCCUUGAAAUACCACCCUGGUUUGUUUGAGGUUCUAACCUUGGCCCGUGAUCCGGGUCGGGGACAGUGCAUGGUAGGCAGUUUGACUGGGGCGGUCUCCUCCCAAAGCGUAACGGAGGAGUACGAAGGUACGCUAGGUACGGUCGGAAAUCGUGCUGAUAGUGCAAUGGCAUAAGCGUGCUUAACUGCGAGACCGACAAGUCGAGCAGGUGCGAAAGCAGGUCAUAGUGAUCCGGUGGUUCUGUAUGGAAGGGCCAUCGCUCAACGGAUAAAAGGUACUCUGGGGAUAACAGGCUGAUACCGCCCAAGAGUUCAUAUCGACGGCGGUGUUUGGCACCUCGAUGUCGGCUCAUCUCAUCCUGGGGCUGUAGCCGGUCCCAAGGGUAUGGCUGUUCGCCAUUUAAAGAGGUACGUGAGCUGGGUUUAAAACGUCGUGAGACAGUUUGGUCCCUAUCUGCCGUGGGCGUUGGAUAUUUGAAGGGGGCUGCUCCUAGUACGAGAGGACCGGAGUGGACGAACCUCUGGUGUACCGGUUGUCACGCCAGUGGCAUCGCCGGGUAGCUAUGUUCGGAAGAGAUAACCGCUGAAAGCAUCUAAGCGGGAAACUCGCCUUAAGAUGAGAUAUCCCUGGGGACUAGAUCCCCUUGAAGGGUCGUUCGAGACCAGGACGUUGAUAGGUCAGGUGUGUAAGCGCAGUAAUGCGUUCAGCUAACUGAUACUAAUUGCCCGUAAGGCUUGAUCCUAUAACA